This 711-nucleotide ribosomal RNA is filed under the name Phytophthora sojae. RNAcentral describes it as "eukaryotic LSU rRNA". It matches the Rfam family "Eukaryotic large subunit ribosomal RNA", at positions 81 to 618 of the family's 3401-position model. Lineage: Eukaryota; Oomycota; Peronosporomycetes; Peronosporales; Peronosporaceae. The record is from RNAcentral. RNAcentral also lists the same sequence under 3 other names.
UAGUAACGGCGAGUGAAGCGGGAAGAGCUCAAGCUUAAAAUCUCCGUGCAAGUUUUGCGCGGCGAAUUGUAGUCUAUAGAGGCGUGGUCAGCGUGGGCGCUUGGGGCAAGUUCCUUGGAAGAGGACAGCAUGGAGGGUGAUACUCCCGUUCAUCCCUGAGUGGCUCGUGCGUACGACCCGUGUUCUUUGAGUCGCGUUGUUUGGGAAUGCAGCGCAAAGUAGGUGGUAAAUUCCAUCUAAAGCUAAAUAUUGGUGCGAGACCGAUAGCGAACAAGUACCGUGAGGGAAAGAUGAAAAGAACUUUGAAAAGAGAGUUAAAGAGUACCUGAAACUGCUGAAAGGGAACCGAAUCGUUUCCAGUGUCUAUAAUCCGUGGCAUAUUUCAUUGGCGAGUGUGCGCGUGCGUGUGCUGUGGCAGUGGCUUUUUUGGCUGCGCUCGGUGUGUGUGCUGUGUGUGCUUGCUGGUGCCCUGUGCUGCGGUGGGACGUCAAGGUCAGUUCGUAUGCUGCGGGAAAUGGCUGCCGAGGAGGUAGGGCUUACGCUCCGCGUUUGUCUGUUAUAUCUUGGUGGACGAGUCGUCGCGGUUGGGACUGAGGUGCCUACAACGUGCUUUUGAGUGGGUUUGUGUCUCCGUGUGCGCCGUGUGCGGAUAGCUUGCUAUGCGUGUGUGGUUGUGUGUGGAUUGAUGCGGGCUUUAACUUGUCGCCGUUC